AUACUAGAGUAGCACUCGCAUAUCAAUAAGCGGAGGAAAAGAAACUAACAAGGAUUCCCCUAGUAACGGCGAGUGAAGCGGGAAGAGCUCAAAUUUGAAAUCUUAAAGGGUUUCCCUUUACGAAUUGUAGUUUAAAGAAGUGUUUUCUGUUGAGGUUUUGGUAAAAGUUCUUUGGAAUAGGACAUCAUAGAGGGUGAGAAUCCCGUAUUUGACCUUUACUUUCAACUUUGUGAUACACUUUCAAAGAGUCGGACUGUCUGGGAAUGCAGUCCAAAAUGGGUGGUAAAUUUCAUCUAAAGCUAAAUAUUGGCGAGAGACCGAUAGCGAACAAGUACCGUGAGGGAAAGAUGAAAAGAACUUUGAAAAGAGAGUUAAACAGUACGUGAAAUUGUCAAAAGGGAAGCGUUUGACACCAGUGUUGUUUUUCUGAAAAUCAAUUAAAGAACUGUUUAUGCUAAGCUUGUUUAGACUUUAUCAGCUAAUCUGUUUAGUUUUGAGCUUUUCUUUAAUGCACUUUUCAGUUAACAAGUCAACAUCAAUUUCUUUUGCUGUAAAAAAGCUUGAGGAAGGUGGCUUGAGAUUCGUCUUAAGUGUUUAUAGCCUCUUGCCUAUGCAGUCGGAGAGAUUGAGGUCUGCAGCGUAGAUCCUUCGGGGCUAAAUGCAUUUGUGCUAAGUUAUAGCAUUUUAUAGACAACUUGUUGACUAUGAUUUGUCUUGUAGCUUACUCGCUUAUGUUAUUUUACCUACGCUUAGGAUGUUGAACUACUGAGACAUAGA
Molecule: ribosomal RNA, 777 nt
Filed under: uncultured Neocallimastigales
Lineage: Eukaryota; Fungi; Neocallimastigomycota; Neocallimastigomycetes; Neocallimastigales
Description: partial large subunit ribosomal RNA
Rfam family: Eukaryotic large subunit ribosomal RNA
Source: RNAcentral